UUCUAUGUGGGUAUUUGAAAUUGUCCUGAUCAGGGCGAACCAACUUGUGCUAAUGUUUCGGCUAGUUUCUGUGUUUAGUUCUUCAAAUUUUCAACUCUAUCAAUGAUAAUGUUCGACUUUGGCAAAUCUUUUUCGAUAUUAUAGAAUCGAAGCAAACAGUAACAAUGUAUACUUACUAAGAACUACAAUAAUAUACAGAUGGAAGUGAACAAAAUCUGUGA
Molecule: unclassified non-coding RNA, 221 nt
Filed under: Hevea brasiliensis (rubber tree)
Lineage: Eukaryota; Viridiplantae; Streptophyta; Magnoliopsida; Malpighiales; Euphorbiaceae
Source: RNAcentral